Molecule: non-coding RNA, 992 nt
Organism: Rattus norvegicus (Norway rat)
Lineage: Eukaryota; Metazoa; Chordata; Mammalia; Rodentia; Muridae
Source: RefSeq, a predicted model, not a curated record
UCCUUGUGAGACUGUUAUGGUCCUAUCUUCACCUAUAGAGAUAGGAAAGGGAGACUGGAAGGACACAUGAGUACCAACCACACUGAGUGGUUUCACUCUCUCACAACCUACCAUGUUAACUUUCCCGGAGAGACGCAACCACAUGUCCACUCACCCAGAUGGGCACCAGUGACAACAAAGUGCAAAUUCACGAACAUCCGACGUGGUGACCCCGAUAACUUCACUGAGCUUUCCAAUAGGUCUAGACACCUACAUUGCCUCCAAGCCCCGACCCGUCCAUCCUAGGUGGAAUCUGCAUCAUAGAAUCCUGUUUUAAAUUAACCUUUCAUAUAUUCUAGCAUUUCCCAAUAUCACUCACAGCUGGGGGAGGGGAACCUCAGGUGAAGGUCUCAUGACCAACGGUUGGUCCCUUCCUCUAUCUCCUAGGGAGUGUCAAUAGCUCAGUUAUCACUGCCAAAGACCUACUGAACACCAUAUCCUUCUGCUCUGGUUGCUAUGGUUACUGAAGGCAAAGCCCAAGAUGGCUGCUGCCUUACAACUUGGUCCCAGAGACAACUCUUAAUCUGUAAGUAAGGGUGGAGCCUCCACAGCCCAGAGACCUCUCAUUAGACCCUGCUUCUUAAAGGUGUCUGUGAUUCAGCAAUCUCACACAAUAACCAAACUCACAGGAGCGUUCAGAGAAUACUGUGAAGCCACAACAGACCUACAACACAGUCCUUGAAAAUCAACUCAGUCACUAACGCCAUGCUGAGUUACCAGAACGAGUCCAAGAAUUUCAAGCUCUAAGAUGGAGAACGAGUCACUUCCCAGAUCCCAAACAACCAGAACUUCGCUGGAUAACAAGGCAAACGGAUGCACUGCCCAGCUUGCAGACGUAAAGGCCCGUAAGCUGCUGGGUGCUCUCGGUAAUGGGAGGUUCAGAAUGCAGUUGAUGGGUUAGUAUCGUUUUUAUUGUAAAAGCAAACUAAAUUAAACUGAUAGUUUUAAUUAAA